Molecule: ribosomal RNA, 333 nt
Filed under: Pseudo-nitzschia fraudulenta
Lineage: Eukaryota; Bacillariophyta; Bacillariophyceae; Bacillariales; Bacillariaceae
Description: partial Bacterial large subunit ribosomal RNA
Rfam family: Bacterial large subunit ribosomal RNA
Source: RNAcentral
CUAAGGUAGCGAAAUUCCUUGUCGGGUAAGUUCCGACCUGCACGAAUGGCGUAACGACUUCCCCGCUGUCUCCAAUGCAGACUCAGCGAAAUUGAAUUGCCUGUCAAGAUGCAGGCUUCCCGCGGUUAGACGGAAAGACCCCGUGCACCUUUACUACAGCUUCGCACUGGCUUCAGGCACAGCAUGUGCAGGAUAGGUGGUAGGCUUCGAAGCAGGGACGCCAGUCCCUGUGGAGCCUCCCUUGAGAUACCACCCUUGCUUUGCUUGAUGUCUAACCGCGGUCCGUUAUCCGGAUCCGGGACCCUGCGUGGUGGGUAGUUUGACUGGGGCGGC